This 2629-nucleotide small RNA is filed under the name Pongo abelii (Sumatran orangutan). RNAcentral's name for it is "retained intron". Lineage: Eukaryota; Metazoa; Chordata; Mammalia; Primates; Hominidae. The record is from RNAcentral.
GAGCAAACCCAGGAAGGAAUAGACUGAGAGGAGGGUCCUCAUGUGAGGAGGACUCUCAGAGGCACUUCCUGGGGGUGGCUCAGGUGCGCCCUCUUAGUAAAAUGCUUCUCAGAUGCAAGGGCAGGUCUUUGAGUCAUGAUCUGUGAGCACAGCCAGUCCCAGGACAGACUCCGGGGUUAGUGCCUGGGGAUGGCAGUGAUCCAGCUGUCUGUCAGCACCUGGAGUGACAAGGUUUUCUAGUGAGGGCUUCUAGCAAGGCUCUGAGCACCAUGGCCCCCAUCCUCUGCCUCUCAGCAUGCUCACAGCUUGAUCCCCAGGCAGCCCUCACCUGCCUGGACCCUGCGCCUACCAGCUCCCUGCCUCCUACAGGCUGUUUGACGUCGGAGGCCAGCGAUCUGAACGCAAGAAGUGGAUCCAUUGCUUCGAGGACGUCACGGCCAUCAUUUUCUGUGUCGCACUCAGCGGCUAUGACCAGGUGCUCCACGAAGACGAAACCACGAACCGCAUGCACGAGUCUCUCAUGCUCUUCGACUCCAUCUGUAACAACAAGUUCUUCAUCGAUACCUCCAUCAUUCUCUUCCUCAACAAGAAAGAUCUCUUUGGCGAGAAGAUCAAGAAGUCACCUUUGACCAUCUGCUUUCCUGAAUACACAGGCCCCAAUACCUAUGAAGACGCAGCCGCCUACAUCCAAGCACAAUUUGAAAGCAAAAACCGCUCACCCAACAAAGAAAUAUAUUGUCACAUGACUUGUGCCACAGACACGAAUAAUAUCCAGGUGGUGUUCGACGCCGUCACCGACAUCAUCAUUGCCAACAACCUCCGGGGCUGCGGCUUGUACUGACCUCUUGUCCUGUAUAGCAACCUAUUUGGUAAUGAUUCCAGCACCCACAGAACAGCUUGCGUGCGCGCGCACACACACACGCACACACACACACACCACUAACAAAUGCAAGUUGGUAAAUAAACUUUAAAGAGGCAUAACAAAACCUUAUAUAUAUAUAUAUAUACAAAUAUAUAUUUAAAAAAUCUUUUUAGUUUGUACUAGAAAGAGCUGCGGACAGAACUGACCACCAUCCCAUAGCUCAUGGAGGUUUUCCUGGGAUGGCACCUGAGCAUGCACAUGUGUGUGAGUGUGUGUGUACACACACUCACACAUGUCCAGUUGGGAGCUUGGUUUGGGAGUCCCUCCUUUUGAGGAUAGCCCCGGGGUAUUCCUCUCAGCCCCAUUUCUGAGAGCAGGGGAAUGGCAGAACAGCCCUGGCCUUGGCCCAGCCAGCUCUCUGUGUUCCACCCUCAGAGCCUCUGCACCCUCAGUUCCGUCCUGCUCUUGGCAAAUUCCGGACCCUUUCAGAAAUGGCCAGUGCCCUAAGCCUCUCCUCGCUCUACACUCCCAACAACAGAACAAUUUAAGGAUGCUUCUCUUUCGGGUGGUGGUGGUUGUUAAUUUCAGGAAUUUAGAAGAAUCAUUGCUCCGACCAAUCCACUGUCUCCUGAGUUUUCUUUAUUCAUGUUAAGAUGGCAAGAAUCAGAGAACAGGGAGACUUGGUCUGCUUUCUAAAAGCAGCUGACAGGAGGGGACUCAAGUUCACCUGCAGAGUUGAAACCAGCCCCGCUCCAAGAGGGCAUGUGGGAAGGCGGGGAACGAGGGGAACAGGCGUGGCGGGGAGGGCCGGACUUGUGGGCCUGACCUGAGUCAGGGUCUCAGGGGGGGCCAGGCUUCCCCAGGUGCCCGGGAUGGGCUUCAUUGGGGUUCCUGACCGCUCAUGCUGCUGCCCCAUCUCGCCCCACCCCAGCAUUAGUCAAAAUGUUCUAGGGUUUUUUGGUUGGUUGGUUGGUUUUUAAAAUCAAAGAAAAUGGUCAGACUGGACCCCUUAUCUCUCUCUCUACAGACUGCUUCACGGACUCUUUGCUGUUGACGUUGAUCUCCUGGUAGCAUGACCUUUUGGCCUUUGUAAGACACACAGCCUUUCUGUAUCAAGCCCCUGUCUAACCUACGACCCCAGAGUGACUGACGGCUGUGUAUUUCUGUAGAAUGCUGUAGAAUCCGGUUUUAGUUGAGUCUUCACAUUUAGAAUUUGAAAGGAAAAAAAGAACAUUUCUCAUGUGCUUUGUAGCUUAAAAAAAAAAAAAGGAAAACUCACCAUUUCAUCCAUAUUUCUUUCUUUUUCUUGCAAAACAAACAUACCCAUCUGCACCGACGCCUGCCCCCGUCCCACCUCGCGGCGCAGCCCCUGGCGCUCCUACUGGGGAGCAGGGCCCAUCUGCCGCCUGGGGCUCCGGUGCGGUGCACUGGUCCGAGGAGUGUGCUCAGGCCGGGCUUUCCAGAAGGCCACAGGCCACUGCAAACCCUGCUGCCUGCCGGCCGCCCAGACACCACAGACGCCACCUGGCGGCCCUAAGCCACUCCCGCCACACGCUCACUCCAGGUUCGUAUAGAAAAAGCACAGCUCUCACUGGCCAGUAGCUGCCAGAAAGAAUACCCAUCGUAUAUGGAAAUCCAGCCCCAUAGAAAACAAUCUGCCCACCGACCCCCUUUCUACAGAUAGCCUUUGUAGGGGUUUUUUGGUUCCUUUUUUUUUUGUUCAGUUUUUGUUUUUAUUUUUGUCCUGCCGAGUAACUAUGUAUUACC